UACGUAGGGUGCAAGCGUUAUCCGGAAUUAUUGGGCGUAAAGAGCUCGUAGGCGGUUUGUCGCGUCUGCCGUGAAAGUCCGGGGCUUAACUCCGGAUCUGCGGUGGGUACGGGUAGACUAGAGUGCAGUAGGGGAGACUGGAAUUCCUGGUGUAGCGGUGAAAUGCGCAGAUAUCAGGAGGAACACCGAUGGCGAAGGCAGGUCUCUGGGCUGUUACUGACGCUGAGGAGCGAAAGCAUGGGGAGCGAACAGG
This 253-nucleotide ribosomal RNA is filed under the name uncultured bacterium. RNAcentral's name for it is "partial 16S ribosomal RNA". It matches the Rfam family "Bacterial small subunit ribosomal RNA", at positions 524 to 776 of the family's 1533-position model. The record is from RNAcentral.